UUUAAUGGCUGAAUAAUACUCAACUGCAUAUAUAUGCCAUGUCUGCUUUAUCCAUUCAUCCAUUGAUGAACACUUAAAUUGUUUCCAUCUCUUGGCUAUUGUAAAUAAUUCAACUGCACUUUAAAGAGUAUGUUUAUUAUAAUUAAUCCAGAAUUUAGUAUUCUCAGGGGAGGAUUUUCAUAAUUGCAAUCCAUAACCUUACCAGAAGAGCAACCCCCACAUGUGUAUUGAUCUAUUCAUUUUUCAUACCCCACCUAAUUCCAAAAUUAUCUUAGGUGGCCUACAGAUAGUGGUAUGGUGUAGUCAUCUUGUACUGGCUUAUGAGAAAUUUAUUGUUAAACUUUUAAGAAUCUUGCCAGCCGUCUGUUAAACACAGCCAUCAUUAAAAAUUAAAUUAUAUAAACUUAAAAUUAAAUAAUUAAAAACAUAAUAAAUACUCAAAUUCAUCACUUUCUAAUUAUGUUCCACUGUUACUUAUACUGUCGAGGUUAUUUAUGUCCCUCGUAUCUGCAUGGUGAAAAUGCUACAGAAAGGUGUCCUACUGCACAUCUCCUCCGAAAUCCACAUUGGACAGCCUCAUGUUAGUAUCUUGAAAUGGGUCAUGGUGGGAGUAUUUACACCAGGGAAAUGGACACACAUUACAAAUCAACUCUUAUUUAUUUCUUUAUUGCUUGUCUAAAUUUCAUAUAGUGAUGAAGAGAAUAACAGUGCAAAGUAAAUACUAAAAGUAUGUCAUAUCCACAGCAGUUACAUUCUGAAUAGCACAAAAAGUUGAGGAAAUACUCUUCCAGUGUUUGGAAGCAGUUAACAAAUUCAGCAAAAAAGUUGCUUACAUGGGGAAGAGUGAGUGGAUUUCUGAUGCAUGACAUAGAUCUUUGUUGUUUCACUUUUGUCUUCCUUGUUAAAAUGGAAAUAUUAGCCAACAUUCAUGUCUAAACUAUUCUUAUUUAUUGAUUGCAACCACAGGUUGGCUGUGGAUAAAGGAUUUGACAAAAAUGAACAAAAGCAUUCUAUGAGAAUCAAUUGGCUGCUUGGAAUUUACAAUAAAUAUUGUGUAUUUUACUAUUAUUUGUUUACUGUGUAUUAUACAUCUUUUAUAGCAGCAUGUUUGUAAUAUACAUGCACAUUGUUUUCAAAGAACCAGGUGUGGAACAUUCACCAGCACACCUCUGCUUACAGGGACAUAUAUAGAUACACUAAGGUAAGAUUUGAAGUAGAUGAGAAAGAUAAAAGGAACAGCAAGGAGAGGGCCUCACUAGAGCUGGAGAUGAUGCUAACAGACAAUUUCAUAUUAUGGAGGGCAGACAUGGGACAUGGUGGGCUGCAGGUUUGCCUCUAAGCUUCCCAGCACACCUUAUUAAUAUAUAAAGGGAAAUUUGAUUGUGUACCAAUUUUUCAGUGUUUGGGUCAGAAAUUGUGGCAAUUCUCCUAGGCUGAGUCUGGAAGGAAUUUUACUCUGAGGCUGUGUAUAGAGGAACAAUGUGUUUUUCUAAAUAUCAAUAAUAUCCUUAAAGCAAAGCCUCACUUAGAGUCAAAGGAAUACUUUUGGGAGAGCCCCUCUCUGAAGGCUGGACACUUCUUGCCAAACUGCAUUUCUGUAAGAUAACACUAUUGAAGUAUUUGUGGAUGAAAUCAUAAGAACUCUGGGACUUGUUUUAAAAUUCUCCACAAAACAAAGGAAUAAACAUCUGUUGAAGUGAAUAAUUGAAGCAAAAAGAGCGAAAUACUGAUAAAUGUUGAAGCUGGAUGAUGGGCAAUUGGGGAUUCACUGAACUCUUGUCUGUACUUUGAAACAAGACUGAAUCUUAUUAAUGUAGUCUAACAGCUCCUCCUCCCUUCCCCCCUACAUACCUUAUCUCCACUUCUCCCUCCUUGCUAUUCCUGUGGUAUAUCAACUGGGUCUUUUGUCCUUCCCACAUUGUGGAUUUGGCUGUUACUACUUCAUGGUGACAAAAAAAUAUUACCUAACAGAAAUCCAUUAAACUUAGAAAUUAUCCUACAGGAAUGAGACAGGUCAGGGAUGUUUUAAUGAAAACAGAAGGGAAGAAAAAUGAGCCAUCUGACCCAAAGAAAGGAAUUGCAGUAACAGGGGCACAACCCACAGGGAAGGUGAGGAAAGUGGGGACUGAAAAGCAGAGAAUCCGCAAAGAGAAGCACUGGAGAAAACUUUUGCCUGCUGCUUAUUUCUGAGUUCUUUGUCUUUGAGCACCUCCCCUUCCUCACCCUGCCACCUCAACCCUCAGGCAGAAUGGUGGGGCAGGGGCAGCAGGGGUGGAAGGUGUCAGGGGCAUUUUCCUCAUUCUGGUUGCACUGUUGAGCUAAAACUUAAGGGAUUUGAAAAAAAAAUAUUUUUCUUGAACCACAUGCUUUUUAAGGAAAAAAAAAAACCAAAUACAUUUAAAAUCAAAUCAAUUUUGAAGGGGCAGCAUCUUUAUCAUCUCCCAUCCUUGGGAUUCAUUUUACAUUCAAAUAAAUAGAAAACUACUUGCAAAAAGGCAAAUUACACCUAGAUUUACCCACAGGUGGCAUUUCAUGCCAUGACUUAAUGGCACUUCAUCAACAUGAGCUUUUCUGGGCUCACUGAUUAGAUCUUGCAAUAUGGAAAGUACCUUACCGUAAUUUUUCAUUUGUUCACAGGUUAUGCCAUUUGGAACCAUGUAAAGUAGCUAAUGUUUUGGUGGUUUUCAAAAACACUGUAUAACCAAGAAAUUCAAGCACCACAUACCAGUGACUUAGGGACCAUUUAGACAUCUGAUGAGAUAUGUAUGACUGUGAUUAAAGUUUCUAUGGUUUGAAGAGUCUGGACACGGCUUCACUGGGUCCUCUGCCCAGUGUCUUACGGGACUGCAAUCAACAUGCCACCUAGGCUGAAGUCUCAUUUGAAGAAUUAACUGGAGAAUCAUCUUCUUGCAAGCUCAUUCAGGUUGUUGGCAGAACUUAAUUCCUUCCGUUUGUAUAACUGAAGGCCCCAGCUUUUUGAUGGUUCUCCACUGGAGCCCACUUUCAGAUCCUAGAGGCCUUCCGCUUCCACUGGCACUCUCACUGUAUGGCAGCUGACUUCUUCAUGUCAGCAAGGAAGAGCUGUCGCUCUAGUUUCCUAAGAUGGUGUCUUAUAUCAUGUAGUCUAAAUAUGGGGUGACAGCCCAUCGCCUUGCUAUAUAUUGUAACCUAAUCAGGGAGGUGACACCCCAUUACCUUUGCUCUGUUUUAUUAGAAGCAAAUAACAGGUUCUGCUCUCACCCAAGGGGAGAGGGAUUCUAGGUGUGGCUCAUUGGAGGUCACCUUAGGGAAUAUCCAGACCCAGUGGGGUUGCAGUUUUAGGCAGGGUGGCCAGAGAAGGCAUCCCUGAGAGCUACCAUUUGGGGAAGGACCUGGGGAGGAGAGGAAGAAAGUCAUGUGACUAUCCUGGGGAAGAGCAUCUUCCCAAGAGGGAAAAAAACAAAUACAAAUUUUCGAGGAACAUGCCUGCCAUUUUGAGACAAAAUAUCCUGUGUGUCGAUGAGAAAGAUCAAAGUGAGGGACAAAUGGAUGCUGCAGGGGAAAAAGAAUUGCUGGAGAAUCACUUAAGAGUAAGCAAGGGGAAUCUAGUGCAGAAGUCAAGGGGUUGACAUUUGCUAGUAGUAAAGACAAAUUCCUGGUAAAAGUCUUGAAGGCAGAGUAAGUAGGCACAUGUACAAGUGUAGACACGGUGAUGGGAACAUCUCCUUUCUCACUGAACUAAGAAACAGAGACAUCUGCUGAGAGUGAGGACUAGGGAGGUGUUAGCCAUCUGAGGGGGAAUAAGAAGAAAGGAAAUAGUCAUCCAUGAGGGUGGGGUUAGAAAUGGAUCCUUCCGGGGAAUGGGGAGUGUCCGUCUGUUCACUUGAUAGCAAUCAAGGCCCACCUGAUCUUAGUGCUUAUGAAUUUAAGGACAGACCAUUCACCAUGGUGGGGUGUCUUUCACUGACCACAGUCAGUAUGUGUGGAGAUAGGCAAUAUAUAUGCAGAAAACUGGAUUGAACAGGGUUGUGGUUUAGGUAAGUGAGCAGAGAGGGGCAAGGUGCAAGGGAGGAGUAUGGUGAGUGACCAUGGAGUUUAAGCUAGGUCAGAUCCAGCUGGCAGGAAGUCAGUAAGGAUAUAGUUGAAUUGAACAACACUGUUAUCAACUGGAUCUAGUUCAUGUUUAUACAGUUCUCUACCUCAGAACAGCAGAAUAUUCAUUCUCUUCAUGCUCAUAUGGAUGAUUAAAACACAUUCUGGGUCAUAAAUAUACCUUAACAAAUUCAAUAGAGUAGAAAUCCUACAAAGUCUCUUCUCAACCACAUGGAAUUAAACUAGAAAUCAGUAACAGAAAUAAAGCUGAAAAAUCUCAAAAUCAUUGGAGAUUAAACAUCACACUUUUAAAUAACAUAUGGGUCAAAAUGAAACCAUGUGAAAAAUUUUUAAAGAAUAUUUUCAAGUAAAUAAAAAUAUAACAUCAAAAUUAUGGAAUGCAAUAAAAGCAAGGCAUAGAAGAAAAUUUGUAACAAUGAAUUCAUAUAUUAGAAAUGAAUUAUUGAGUCAGUUGACAUGAGUUUUAAGACUAAACAUUUUAUAGAGGAGGAUGGAGAGGUGCUGAAAGUGACAUGAGAUGUAAGAAAGACACUUAACCCUCAAAGAACAAGAGAAGUGGGAAAGAAAACUGCCACUGAGAGCCUGCAGGGGAAGCAGAGUCCCAAGGGGAAGGUAGGUUCCAGUGACCACAAAGAUUCAGAAAAGUUCAGAGAAGAAAUGAAGGCUGUGGAUAUUUUGCUGAUGAUUUUCAAAAGGCACUGUGGAAGAGCUUCAGGGAAGGGGAUCAGAAAAAGGAGUGUCAGAAAGGGGUGGGAUAAGGGUUUGAGGGUUAAAGGAUACCCAACCAAAGCAGAGUUAAGGGGCAUGAUGAGUUGGGGCAAGUUGUCCUGAUGCUGCAAGAAGGAAGUUGUAGGGGUCUCCUGGGGACACACGGAAAUUCUGUUGUCACACAACAUUGAGGCUGGUAGUAGAGCAGCAUCACUCUGGGUGCUCACGUCUCUUGUGACUCCUGCCCAUGGAAACCUGCAGAGGGCGCUCUUCCUGAGCAGGGGAAACAGUCCAUCCCCAAGUCCCCUAGAAAGAGCAUGGGGAACCUCAGUCAAAAGAGGGUUAGUAUAGGGAAACUCAGGGAAGUAAGGAAGACAGGCAGCUAGACUUGCUAGUUAGAAGACUGAUACAUUUACUUAUCAUGUGUUAAAAUUUGUGACCAUGCUGACAGAUUUUAAUUAUUUGUGAGAUUGCAAUUAUUUGUGACUGCUAAUUUUAGUGUUUAAUCUUUUUGUAACACAGUUGUUCAUAUCUCUGUUUUUACUGUUACAGUAGUUGGUCAUUCUCAUCUUAUGUUUUGAAUUCAAAUUCUGAGGAUAUCCAGUCAUCUCCACCAGCUAAUCCACCCAUUCCUUUCUUUCUGUCUCCCUCCCUCCCUCCCUCCCUGUGUCUUUCCAUCCCUGCUCCCAUCAGCGCAUCCAGUCUUUCAUUUAUUUGUUCAUUUAGCAAGUGUUUAUAACAUCCAAAACUAAUCUAAUGCUAUAUGUCAAUUAUACCUCAAAAAAAGAAGCUUCUUUCAAUAAACAAAAAACUCAGGUAUUUAUGGAGCAUUUGAAGAUCCCCUGGAGAAGGGAAUGGCAGUCCACUCCAGUAUUCUUGCCUGGAGAAUCCCACGGACAGAGGAGCCUGGGGGGCUACAGUCCAUGGGGUCGCAAAGAGUCGGACAUGAUUGAGCGACUAACUCUUUCACUUUAGUAUGUUUCAGAAACUGUUUUAGGAGACUAAAGUGAUGACAGCAGAUAAAGCUUACAUUCUUAUGCAAAUAAGCAAAAAAGGUGCCUGAGAAGUGCUAUGGAGACAAAUAAAACAGAGUAAGGAGGAGAAGGAAUACUGAGAGUGAGAGAAGGAGAGAUCAGGAAAGAGGUCUCUGAAUGUGACAUUUGUGCUAAGGCCCCGAGGGAAGUGAGGGAGGAAGGCAUGCAGAAAACAACAGGAAGAGCAUCGUGAGCAAAGGAAAAAGAAGCUAUUUCAGGAAGAACAAGGGAGCCAGUGCAGCUGGAGUGAAGUGACAGGGAGAGUGAAAGGAAGUGAAGUCAGGUAGGUGUGCAUGUGGAGAGAGGGUGGUGGGUGCUGAGUGUGAGCCGGAGUGAGAGUCUGACUUGUUUUAUUUACAGUCGUAGAAUUUUAUUCAGGUUCAUAAGUGAUUAAUUUUCUUUCCAAAAGCCUAAAUACAAAUCCUAUUCAUAUAUAAUUUUUUGAAUUUACAUACAGUAAAAUUCACCUUUUUUAGGAUCCACAGGAACACAGUGCCUGCAGAGAACAAAAUCCAUGGAUGCUGAGGUUCCUUAUAUUUACAUAUAAUCUACGCAAAUCCUCUCAUGUACUUUAACCAUCUCUGAUUUCCUGUAAUACCUAAUAGAGUGUAAAUACUGUGUAAAUAGUUGCUGGGAUGCUGUGAAUUCAAGUUUUGUUGUUUUAGAACUUUGUCAAAAAAUUUUUCCCCUGAAUCUGAGAUCUGAGGUUGGUUGAAUUUGUGGAUGUGGAACCUGAGGAUAUGGACUACAUAGUCCUGUGAGUUUUGACAAACACGUGUAGUCAUGUGACUGUCACAGUCUAGAUGUAGACCAGUUUCCCCAGUCAGAGUGCACGGGGACCCCUUUGUGGUCAGCGCGGCCCUCACCUGCAGUCCCCGGCACCACUGUUGUCUUUUCUGGCCUUUUAGCUUUGUCUUCAGAGUUAUGUCUGUAGGGCGUCAUGUAAAUGAAACUAUAUAUCAUGUAGCCUGUGCUAUAGAUGUGUAUUCAUCUGGCUGCACUGGGUCCUGGUUGCAGCAGGUGGGAUCUUCGGUCUUCGUUGGAGCAUGCAGAAUGCCCCCUGCAGUGGACGUACAGAGUCCUAACCACUGGACCGCUAGGGAAUGCCCUAGUCUCCUUUUUGCUGAGCAGCAGUCCAGUGUGUGCAUGUGCCUCCGUGUGUUUAUCCAGUCACAAGUUUAGGGACUUUCAGGUUGUUUCCAAUUUUAUAUGAAUAAGAAAUAAAGCUACUAUUCAGAUUCACAUACUAGCUUUUGUGUGAACACAGAUUUUCAUUUCACUUGGAUAGUUGCCUCAGAGUGGGAUUUCAGAGUCAGAUGGCAGGCACAUUUUAACUGUAUAAGAAACUCUCAUACUGUUCUCCAAAGUGGUUGUCUCGUUUUGCGCUCCCACUACCAAUGCAUGUCACUUUUAAAAUUUUAGUCAUUUUAGUUGGCAUGUAGUGAUGUCUCCUUGUGGUUGUAAGUAGCAUUUCCCUAGUGACUAAUAACGCUGGGCAUUAUUUUUAUGUAAUUUUUGCCUUCUAUAUAUCUUCUUUGAUGAAAUGUCUUUACAAAUAUUUCAUGCCUUUGAUGAAUUGCUAUUGAAUUUUCAGAAUUUUUAAAAAUGUAUUUAGGAUAUAAUUUCUUUAUCAAAUUUUUGUUUUUCAGAUAUUUUCUACCAGUCUUGGACUCUUUUUUCCCUUUUUUUUUAAAAAAUAGGGUCUUUUGAAUAGCAGAUGUUUCCAAUUUUUAUUUAAGUCCAGUUAUCAGAUUUAAGGUUUUACAUUUAGGUCUGUGAUCUAUUUUGAGUUCAGUUCUAUGCAGUGUGAGGCAUGCAUCAAGGAACAUAUAUAUAUUUCUUGAAAAGACUAUUCUGUCUUCUUUGAAUUGCCAUUUAGGCUUAUGUAUGGUUGUGUUUAUGAGCUCUUAUCUGUUCCAUUGAUCUGCGUAUAUUAGCCAGGACCUCACAGUCUUAAUUACUGUAGCUCCAUGGUUCUCCAUGGCUCUCAUGGUUCUCUUGAGAACUCUCAAGGGUUCUGCUUGUUUCUGCCUUGCACACUCAUGUCGUGUGUGCCCUGGUGCAGGGCCUGGUGUUUGUUGUCAGAGCAGUGUUUCUUCCCCUUUGGCCACCUGCUCACUAAGGAGGUGGCAUGGUGAGAGCAUGCUUAAGAUCUUCUCCUGGCAGAUUUCAAGUGGACAAUGCACUAUUAGCAGCGAUCCUUGCUUCCUUUGUGAGGGUGGUUCAUCCUGGUGCUGAAUGGUCUGAUGUGUUGGACAAGAAGGUGAAAGCCUCAGGCUAGCCUGUUCUGGGAGGGCCCUUCUGGGCCAGAUUGCCAAAGAUUAAUGACCUUGCUGAUGACUUUCUCUGGCCUUAUGCUGAUCCUGUGGUGCAUGGCAGCCCUGACUGGGCAGUGCCCUUGGCCAGGAUGGACCUCAGAGCAUUUGCUACAUCUGUUCCAAUCUGAAAAUUUCCCCAUGUAUGACAUUCAUUUAACUAUUCAUUCUUUCAUUUAUAUAUGACAUUUAUGGUGCUGUGUUCAAGGAUUAUAAUAAAGAAGGAGAUAGAAAUGGUUCCUGUCCUCACAGAGUUUACACUUUGGACAAGAGGCAUUAAGUAGCUUAAUAAAUACUCAGUUAAGUCUGUAACAUGAACUAUAGUCAGUUCUCCAUACUGUUUAUAUAAUGUGAAUUAGUUUACAUUUUGUCUGUGCUGCUUUUAUGCUAGAAUGGUAGAGGUGAGUGAUUGCAGCUGUCACAGAAUGGCCUACAUAGCUCAUAAUAUUUAUUAUGUGACACUUGAUAGGAAGUUUGCUGACCCCUGCUUGGAUACCUUAGAUGUGUUGAGAAGAUAAGGUCACUCAGGGCUGCCCUCUGAGCUAAGGGUGAGGAGGGAAGCAGCACUGGUGUAAACCAUGUGUGCUCACAGACUCUCACAGACACGAAGCCUUGCGGGGGCGUCUUCUUGUCCAGUACGUUGGUCCACUUAGUACCAGGCUGGGCCACCUUCACAUUGGAGGCUGCAUGGUGACUGUAGUUAAUGAUACAGAAUUGUUUACUUAAAACUUGUUGGAAGUAGAUCUAAGUAUUCUUACCACAAGAAUCCAUUAAAAAAACCCAAAAGAGAGCUGGGAAAAUUCCCCUGUCACUUUAUUCCAAGACAGUUUCUAGGAGAGAGGAAGACAUUUCUUUCUACUCCUGGAAAAAAAUACAAAAAGUACUCUGAGUCAGAAAUGUCUGUCUACCAAAAUCCGUCCUCCUAGUUCCAUAGUGUGGCAUGGUAGCUGCCUGAUAGCUGUCCAGUCAGGAACUGCAUUUCCCACAGUCCUUUGUGUCGAGUGUACCCAUGUGACUAGUUCUGACCAAUGGAUUGGGAAUGGGAGUGACCGGUCAUUUGCAGGCUGGGAUUUUUAAUGAAAUGCUCACUUGCAAGCCCUCUGUCCCCUUCAGCUAUCUGGAUAUAGAGGGCUCUGAGGUUCUGGAGCAGGACUUCUGAAACUUCUGAGUGUUUGAGUCACCUGUAUCUGGAGAUCUUAAAGCACAGGGCAGGUGCAGUAGGUCCAGGGCAGGGUCUGAGAUCUUGCAUUUUUAACAAGUUUCCAGGAGAUGGCAGUGCUGUUGGUGCUUAGACCUUUAUUCUGUAGUGGAGCCAUAAAAUGAAAGGAACCUGUCUCUGAAUCACUUAAGUAGGAAAAAUCUCCUUUACUCAGCAACUCCUGAUCUGUUACCUGAGUGAGAAAUAAGCCUUUGCAGAAAGGUAUGGGCGUGUCUGCAUGCUCAGUCACGUCCGACUCUUUGCAACCCCUAUGGACUCUAGCCUGCCAGGCUCCUCUGUCCAUGGAAUUUGCCAAGCAAUACUGGAAAAUACUGGUUGCCAUUUAGGGGAUCUUCCUGACCCAGGGAUCGACCCCACGUCUCCUGUGCCUCAUGCAUUGCAGGCAGAUUAUUUACUGCUGAGUCACAAGGGAAGCCCAUUUUAAAACCUGCCAAAGCCUUAUACCAUUAGCUCAUUGACAAUAGUGGUUAAGGGGAAAAAAAAAAAAAAAUCUGGGUUUUAUAUUUGUUGACUUGGAUUAAAAACAGAGAGUGAAAAUGUUUGGGAUGGGUUGUGAAUGAUCUGCUUCAUCUGGCGGGGAGGUUAGUGGAGAGCAGACCAUGAGGGUCUUUGACCCUGAGAAGUCUCAGUGCAGGGAGUUGAGGUAGAGUCUCUUAAGCAAGGGACCAGCGGGUGAGUGUCAGGGCCCUGGUGCAGGUUGCAGGGCAGAGGUUGGCUGGAGGAGCCCAGCCAAAAGUGUGGUCACGCAAAGGCUGCUUGACCCCAGUGACAGAAGCCUGGGCAGGGAGGCAGAUGGGAUACUGAUGUGUGUGGUAUCUGAGUGUGUGUGCUAUUGGGAAGAGUUGCAGUUGGAGCAGAGAGGCAGAGGGAGUCCAGACCUGCUCCAAGGUCAAAAGCCACAGGAGCCUUUUGCCUCCUUGCAGUAAACAUUCACAGUGGGGAGGCCAAGUUCAUCUGAGGAACCUUGACCAGCUGGACCCAGCAUGCUAGAAUUCAGCCAAGGAUGCUAGUGGGAAAUCUCUCCCCAGGUUCUGAGGAAGAAAGGCUGGAACAAGAAGGCCUGCCCUGUCACUGUUGGUAUGGUCCUGACCUUACCUUCCUGAAAUAAAGCCAGAGCUGGGUCUUCUCAAGGCCUGCUGGCUUUGGGACAGAGCUGGGCCUGAGCAGGAACAGGAGGAAGUCAAGGGAAAAUAAUACUGGUUUUGGAUAAAGCACCUGGGUGGUGGCAGAAGCUAGCCUUUGUUCCAUCUGGUAUUCAGAUAACAUCAAGCCCUUCUGUCAGAAUUGUGUAGAAAUAGCAGCAAACCUGAGAAGAAUUGCAAACUGUCCACUUUGACUAGUCAGGGUCACUUACCAUGUUACAAACCAUUUUUAUUCAAGGGAAACUAUAGUGGAUGUAGACAUGAGACCAGUUUUUUUUUUUUUUUUUUUUUAAUUAUCUGAUGUUUAAAUACUCACCAAGCGCCUAUUGUAUGUUAGGCACCAUGAAGAUUAACUGUAGAAAUCCAAGGUGAAUUUUCAUACCUUGAUGAUGGAGAAGAGAGCAGAUUAUAAGAAUGUGAAUCUGUGUACUGAUUAGAUACCUGCCCAGGAAAGCUCUUGGAAGAGUUGAAACACAACUGGGGGCUGGGAGAGGCUGAGUUCCGGGUCAGCAGCCUGUGAGGGCUGCAGCCUCCAGCAGAGGAUGGAGGGGAAGGAAGAGAGGCAGGAAGCAUAAAGGUGGGCCCCACCCCAGCUCCGGCUUCUGUAGGGGGACCCACGUCGUGUCAGGUCAUCCUUCCAGUGAAACCCGUCAGUGCCUGCUGCUGCCUGGUGUGGAGGCCCACAUCCUGGCCGGGGCCUGUUAGGCCUGUGAUAUCUUCACCCCACGGCCCCCCAGCCUUCUACAGGCCAGUUUUUGAUAUCCUCUGCCCCCAGGUGACGGGCUGCCAUCAGGUCUCAGAUUUGGAGCUUGGCCCCCAGGCCCUUUUCUUCUCAGGUGGCCAAACUGCUCCAGUUUGCCCAGGACUCGAGGUGGGGAGGGUGUUGCUUGGAUGCCCACUCAACAGUUUCGAAACCAGGACCAUCCUUGUCAAACUGGGGGAAGUUGUCACCUUGCUCCCUGAGGCCUGGACCCCCCACACUGUUCCUGUUGUGACAUCUGCACACAUUGAACCAGUCCCCGGCUGUUCUCUUAGGAGAAGCCCUGGGUACGCCCCUCCUGGCCUCAUGAGGCCUCCUGCUUGCCCACUCUGGCUCCUUCACUUCUCCUUUGAAGCUCUUAUUACAACUGCAAGUAACAUAACUAGUUGUGGAAUUAGCUUCCUGAUAUGUAAAGCCUGCACAUCUCUGACAGGUGGGUCGUGCCUGUCUGGUUUAAAGUUGUAGUCUCAGCCCUCUGCACAGUACCUGCCACAUGACUGACACUGAUAAACAUCUGCUGAACGAGAAUUCCAGAGCACCACUGCAAACCAUUACAUGUCUCUCAGCUGGUAAGAGCAACAACUUAAAAAUGCAUAUGUGUCAUUGUAUAUGUACUCUGUGCUCGAGUCAGAGUCCCUGGCUAUUUCUUGGCACCCUUAAGAGGUGCUCAGGUCUCCUUAUUUCUUACCUGGAGGAUUUCAGUGCCUGCCAGCACGUCUCCUGUCUCCACUGCACCUGGACAGGGCUGCCAGGGCCUCCUCCCAGAGCUGAGUGCUGAGUUCACCUUUUCUCAGAAAGCUGAUAUGACACUUGACUGCUCAUAAUAGCAUUUGUGAUCUGCUUGCCCCUAUGUCUGUUAUUCUUCUGCCUCUCUGUCUCUGUCAGUCUCAGUCAAAAUAAACAAUACAUUGUUUCUCUAACAUACCUCCAACUUCCUUAACUCUGACUUCCCUCAUGCUGUUCUAUGCCUUAUCCCUCCCUUACCUUUUGAAAUCCUACCCAUCCUCCAAAGCCCACUAAUACACCCCUUGUCCAGGGUCACUUCUAAAUGCCUCCACGCAUUUCUGCAUUCUGUAGAAACAGACAUUCCCACUGUGUUAACUGUCUUGACCUUCUAACCAGAUUAUAGGCAACUUGAGAACAGGGGCUGCGUUCUACGCAUCUGUAAUGCUUUAUAGAUAGUAGGUACUCAACACUAUUCAAAAAUGUUUGUUAAGCUGAGUUAAGUAGGUUUAAUUCAUGCUCCUUUUGUUUCAUGUAGCCCGUGAAAUAAUUUUAUAAAAAUUCUAGAUCUGAUUUCAUUUUUAAGUUGACAUCUAUGUUUUUUUCACAAAUUUAAAUACUGCCAAGGAUAUAUUUUUGUAUAUAUGCUUUAAAUGUAUCUUAUUUAAACCUUGUAGUUGCAGAUUUGACUCAUUUAACUUAUGGAAAAUACCUGCUAUAUAAUCUUAACUGGCUAAGCUAGUCCUUGUGGUCAAGUCAGACAAACAGCCAAACCACACAUUCAAUCAGGAAAAAAGUCUGACUUUAUUUUAAAAUUUAGAUAAACAUGGGUGCUAAUUCUUAGAUAGGAACCCUACAGGGCUCUUGAAUUGAAGGAAGGCAUUGCCCGUGUAAGUGAUGCUCUCUGCUUUGCUCUCCUGACUUCCCAAGGCUGCCUUCUCCAGUUGUCACUUUAAUGCCCUAGAGGUUUUACACUUUAGGGGGAUGAACAGAGUCAAAUUUAGGUUGCAAUGAUAAGUCCGUCUUUCUUCCAUAAUGUGAAGGGUCCUUGUGUAGGGCAGGUGGGAAUGGGCAGUGGGCAAACCACAAGCCUUGAAAUGCAUAAAAAUGAAAGAUGAAGUUCUGGAAGUGGAUUCCAGGUAAGACAGGUCCCUGCCUGUGUGAGCCCUGGAAAGUCUCUGUGUGCCCCCCAGGGACUGUGUGUUCUUGGCGUGAAGGCAUUUGACCCAGGAGGAAGGCACAGUGGAGAUCACAUCUUCUUUCACACAGAUACACCUUGUGAGGGUUUUAGAAAAUUUACCUUCCACUUAAUGAAGAAAGGUCACUUUGUUGCUUCACAAGAUUUCCAGGUGAACUCAUUCUCCAAGACACCGUUACAUCAGAAGAAAAGAUCCAACGAAACUCUCAGAAUCUUUUAUAACAGAUGCGGCCCUCAUCUGCGGUUGCCAGCAACCCUCCCCCCGGGCGGUGGACAGGCUUCAGCUUUCCUGGAUCGCUGGGCUGCCGGGGUGAUAUGCCACCAGUGUGGCCCAGCAAGAGGUCAGUGUAAUUUGAGAUUGUUGCUCCAUCAUUUAUUCCCAAAUGUUUACACACUGCAGCUGCUAUUACCACCAGUAAGCAUAACCAUCAUCUCUACACAUUUAAUUGGUGCCCUAAAUAAACUUGACAUGAUGCGGAAUCAUGCACUAUCAUUGGACAUAGUGCCCUUACUGUGUUAAGACUUGGAAAGCACUCUGGAGAUUUUGUAGGCAUCCCGUCUGGCGUUAUGGUUAUCUGAAAAAGAAAUCUUGUUAGUCCAACUUCUUCAGCAGUUAGGUCACUUGAUUUUGCAGUGAGUUUGGCCUGAAAAAUAAUAUCAGUUGGGCAGGGUCAGAUUCAUUCUGGGGGAGCCCCAAGCUUACACAGUUUGGGAGAGACUCAAGAAAGAAAAUGUAAAAUUCCGCAUGAGCUUGAGGGCUCACGCAAACUUCAGUUCCUCCAGCUUCACAGCAAACCCACCUGUACUGUAGGAACAGUGGUCAGGUGUCUGGCAGAGUGCCUUGCACUUGGAGUACACACUUGAAGCUAUGCCAGGCACAUGUAGCCCCCAGCAGCCACACACUUCACCAGGUCUGGGGUGUGUAUGAUCCACUGCUUGGAAGGGGAAUCAGAUCCUGAUGAAAGCAAGGGGUUCUCUGCUGAAAGCCUUGCUGUUGUUCCAAGACAGAGGCUGCAGAUUGGUAGGCUGUGGGCCAGACUCGGUCUGCAGGUGGUUAGUUGUGGUAGAAGAUAAGAAACUUCUUGUUCAGUGUUUCUUAAAAAUGUGAAUUAAACUUGUCAAACUUUAAAAACCAUAAAUUUCAUAUAAAAAGCUGAUUUAUUUUUCGUUUUCUUCUCUCCCACCCCACCCCCCCAACCCUUCUCAUGAGGAACUGAAAGAUGGUUCCACAGUGACAGAUGACAGCUUUAGAGAAGGGAUGUGCUUAUUGGUCCACCCAGUCCCCACCUUGGCAUCUUCAUGUUUAUUUUCUGCCUGACCUUGGAAACUUGAUUCAUGAUAUAAGGAAACCCUCCUCCUCAAGCUGAUUAUGACUUGCGUUUGAAAGGGCUCCUACACUGGACUGGUCUACAGAGAGGACUGCUCAUCUCAAAUUCACCUUAAAACGACACUCAAACCGAGGAGAAACUGCACUCAGACCAGGAUGAAAAAAAGACAAUAUCAGAAGUAGACAGCUGACUGAAGGUGCUGGACCUGACCCAUAAGGCUGCAAGACUCUUCACUUGAGGCUUUCAACUACAUUGUCCUCUUGUCAAACAACUAAACUAUACCUCUGCCUGAUGGGAAUUAAACAGCUGGUGCUCAGGAUACUGCACUUAAAGAGAGGGAAAGAGGCAACCCAAGGAAGCUGUUUACAUGUGCCCUCUUGUGAUGGACCUGAUCUCCCUGUUUGACUUUCUGAGUAGGGGAGGUAAGGCUUAUUUGCAUUUGAACUCCUGUGAGGGGCAAAGUAUGGGAAGCCUCAUUAUUUCAGGUCCCAUUAAAGAGAAACUGCCCUCUGAAACAUUUGCCUUUUAGUAUGUGUAGCUACAAAUAAGAAUGCAUGGAUAAUUAACUGAAGGUAAAACUUUAAAAAGAAAGAUUAAAAAUUAAAAUGGCAGAGAAGAAAGGCAAGCCUUGAAAUUUUACUAGGUUAUCAACCAUGGGCAAGGGAAAUAAACAUCUAGACAAAAAAGCAAACCAAAUAGAAAUAAAAGGAGAAAUAAUAAGAAAGGUAAGCAGAAAGGAAUGCUAAAAAGAUCCGUGUUCUUUAAUGAAAAUAAAUGGGCUAUAAUAACGAUUUUUUAAUAUUAGCGAUUCAUUGUAAUCUGAGAAAAUAUAGGAGGAAUACUUUGCUCUGUCAAGGUGAAAAUGUAAUGGAAAGAGGAUUCUUAAAAAGACAAUAAAAUGACAGAAAUAUAACAAUGCUGUCAAAGAAACUCCUAUCUCUGAGCCUGAGACGAGAGGAAAGCCUUCUCAUAAAGGAACUGCAGCAAUGCCAAUCUCAAUUUAACAAAUUGUGGUCCUUCAAUUAUAAAAUUUGUAUUGUAGAUGAAAACUGAUUAAGAUCUAUGAGCUAAACUGCAAAAUUCUGACUUAUGGCAAACUGUUCCCUAGAAUACAAUUUUUAAAACGUUUUUUUCUACCACUGAAAAUGUACAGAAACGUGAUUACAGAAAUGGCAGUACAAAUGGCAGCACACCAGUGAAUUCACUAGGUUUCUAACUCACCCUGCAAGUGUGCAGGGAACACUGCUUCUAAGACUGGUGAUGGGUGCCACCGAGUGAGCCGUGGAAACAGGUCAUGGGCGAACAGUUCUGAAUGUUUCAAAGAAACCUUUUAACCCCUGUCUAGAUAUGUCAAGAACAAUUUAUUUACAACUCUUCAGCUCAAUUAAAAGAUAUAAUCUUGUCUCAGUUUCAGCUUGCUCCGUGCAGUUUGAUUUUUAAGGCGAUAUUCCAGUUUGUGAUUGCUCUUAACUUGUCCAGUUUCUUGAAACAAAGUUUGGAUGACAUCCAAAUCCUUCAUGCAGUGGGGGAAUUUUUUUUCUUUUUUUUUUUUUACUAAAGCUACACUGCAUUCUCUGUGAUGUUCUUCAUGUUGUUUUGGUUCUUCCGUAGCUGCCAAAGCCCCCACUGUGUAACAGGGGGCUUUAGGAUCAGUUAGGUCUGCACUGUGGACACCGUCCGGACCAUGCUUAUUGGACACGUGGGGCUUCAUGUCGGUGCCUCCAAGCCUUGGUGCCUCGUGGAUUUAUGCGUUUGACAGUGGAAAUAAAUUAAAACGCCGAGAGACGGAACUUAAGAACGGCCUGCAGGCAUCCAGGUAAUUCAGAAAGUGAUUGGAGAACCAGCUUUUGAGAAAUACUGGCCUGCAUUCUCUGGAAGAAGUUGGGGGAGUGACUUUCUCAGCAGUUCAGUGUCACUCAAGACAUAUUUCUUAGGGACCACCAGACAGAGAAUUUGGAUAAAGACACCUAAAAAGAAACCUGAGGUUGGUUGGAUACAAGAAGGCAGACACCUUGAGCUCGCCUCCUUUCAUGAGCAUGCUGGUCACAACCAACUGCUGAACAGCCAUUGAUAAAAGACAGGAAUCUACCAGAAAAGGAUAUUCUGCAUCCGAAGACACAAGAAGAAACCAUGAGAUAGCGGUAGGGGGGGCACACUCAUGAUAUAAUCAAAUCCGUUACCACCCGGGUGGGAGACCCACACACUGGAGAAUAAUUAAAUUGCAAAAGUCCUCCCCCAACCUAGAAGAAAUAGGCAUAUUCUUAGAAAAGUACAAAUCUCCCACGACUGAACCAGGAAGAAGUAAAAAAAAAUAAGAACAGCCCGAUGACAAGUACUAAAAUUGAAUCUGUGAUUUAAAAACUCCCGACAAACAAAAGUCCAGGACCAGAUGGUUUCAUAGGCAAAUUCUACCAAACAUUUAGAGAAGAGUUAAUUAACAUCUAUCCUGAAACUAUUUCAGAGGAAGGGAAACUUCUAAACUCACUCAUUCUAUGAGGCCACCAUCACCCUUGAUCGAAAGAUUCAACAUUAUCCAAGUGGACUAUACUACCUAAGGCAGUCUGCAGAGUCAGUGCAGUUCCUAGCAAACUUUGUUUCUCACAUGGGCACCACCAUAACCCAGUCUUCUCUUUACUUCUUCUCUUCCCUACCUCUGGUCUCCAUGCAGCAGCAAUGUCUCUGAGACAUAAAUUUGAUCAUGCCAUUCCUUUGCUUAAAACGUUUGGUGGAUUCUCACUGCUCUUAGACUAAAAUCAUUAACAAAGCCCACAAAAGCUUGCCUUAUCUGGCCCCUGCCAGCCUCCCCAGCUUCACCUCCAUUCAUCCCCUGUUCCUCAUUCACACUGGUCAUUGUGCAGUUACUCACACACACAAGCUCAUUCUGUAUUCUGGGACCAUACAUCAUUGCUGGCUCCUCUGCACCCCACAGUGAUUCACAGGCUGGGUUCUUUUUCAUUCUUUAGGACUCCUAAAUAUUACCCAAGAGAACCCCAACCCACAGUAGGUACUCUAGUCUCCUUGAGAGCUUCUUGUCUUUUUAUUUCCUCAUAGUGCUUAUAAUUUGGAAUUAAUACUUGGCUGCCCCUUUGAUUAACAUAAGUCUCAGUUAGUAGAUUGUAAGUUUCAUGAGGUCAGUGACCACACUGGUCUUGUGUAUCACAGUGGACUUAACAUCUAGCAUAGUGCUUGACACAGUAAUACCUGUUCACUGUAUAUUUGAAUAAAAAAUAAAUCUACUGCACAAAUAGAAAUGGAAGACUUUCCAAGGGGAGGAUGACGAUGAUGUCUGUUUGAAGUGUGAGAGGAAAGAAGGAAGUCUGUGGAAAGAGAGCAGAAGGAGGACACCAGUGACAUCAGCUUUCCCUGGUGGCUCCUCGGAUGCAGAGGGCAGAGAGGGUCCUGAUCCAAGUCCAUCUGAUACAACAGAUGUUCCUUCCCUCUGUAAUCUUCGCAGUUAUAGUGAUAAUAAUGCCUUUGCUUUAAAGGAACGUCAUCCUUAUGGAAGCAUGAAUCAACGUGCCAGUGAAUGUUCAGAUUAGCCGACAGGUAAGACAGAACCAAAAUAUCUUGCACGCCCUUGAGGGAGAAGCAACCCCCUUUCCUAAGUUAGAUCAACUUUAUUCCCCUUGCUGUUAUCAGCUCUAGCCAGUUUGGAUCUCUCCUAGAAAACAAACCAGUGAAUACACAUUACAUAUUACUGGUAUAUGGUGUACACACAUUACACACUCACAAGCACAUAUCAUUAUUUCUGGGUUAAAAGAUGUAUGACCUCUUAAAUUAUCUUGUAGGAACCUGGCAAUAUUGAAAAAAUAAAAUGCUCUCUUUGACUUCAUAUGUCCAAGCUUUAAAAAAAAAACAGAACAAACCUUAUCUACUAUGCUUCAACCACUCUUUUUAUUUUAUUGAAUAUCACUAGAGUGACAAUAACCAGAGAGGUGAUCUGCUAGGAAUAAACUACUUAUUGUAGUAAAUAUCUGUAUUAUUGGUUUUCCCAGGUGGCUCUUAUUGGCAGCAAAAAUUUGUACAGAAGAGGAAAAUAAGUCAAGGAAGAGUUGAUUUUUUUCUGUGCUGAAGGGUAAGGGAGACCCUUGGAAGGAAGGAAGGAAGGAAGCCAGGGAGUGUUGCAGGGAAAGAGGAUCUGUUUCCUGCUAUACCCCUUACCUGACAGCGUCCAGGGUUCUAGCUUGGGCUGACCGGUCCCCCCAACCCUGAAAAAGAGCUCCUGCACUUGUCUCCUCCUCUCAGUGAGGUCGGGCCCGAAGCCUAAUGGCUGCCUUUUGGAUUCGGGCAUCUAGGAGAGCAACAGUGCUGUCAGCACCGCUGGGAUGACUAAUAUUGACAACAGCUAACACGGAUUGAAGUGCUUCCUAGGUACCAGGAACUAUUCUGAACUCUUAAGAUGUAUUUACUCACCUGUAAACUUGCACAUUUACAGAUGGGGAAACCAAGGCACAAAAAGUUUACCUUGUUCAAGACUACAUAGCAGAAGGUAAUAGAACAGGGUUGUUGAAUGACUUUCUGAAUGGGGUGAAGUUCUACAAGCUCAGCUGGAAUACUGUCACAAGACUCCUUUGCUAUCAACUCUUUUGAUUGGGGCUCAUGUCUUCUAGGGCAGCUUGACAGGAACUCCCAUCUAAAGCACUGUCAGAGGCAGAUCUAUUAUUAAUCCAACUAGUCUCUGAAAUGCUAUUUGUGUUUGAAUCUUGGACACAGAGGAAUAGUUACAGAGCCGGGGUGUUGUGUUGAUCUGUGGAAAUGCUGGGCAUAUUAUUAGCUGGAAUCAGAACAGUGAGAUUGGAUGUCUUAAGGUUGGGGAUAAUAUUAUAUGCUUUAAAAAUAUCCCUCAUGUUGUCACACCUUGAACCUGAAUUGAAAAUCUCAUCUACAGUGGAAAAAGCCUCUUCAAGUGGUGUUGGAAAAGUUGGAUAGCUGCAUGUAAAUCAAUGAAGUUAGAACAUACCCUCACACCGUACACAAAAAUAAACUCAAAAUGGCUUUUAAAGACUUAAAUGUAAGACGUAACAUCGUAAAACUCCUAGAAGAGAACAUAGGCAAAACAUUCUCUGACAUAAACUGUGCCAGUGUUUUCUUUGGUUAGUCUCCCAAGGCAAUAGGAAAGGAAACAAAUGGGACGUAAUCAAACUUAGAAGCUUAUAAAAGAUGUUCCUAAUUGCUAAUUAUAUUAGAGAAAUGCAAAUCAAAACUACAGUGAGGUACCACCUCACAGUGGUCAGAAUGGCCAUCAUAAAAACUGCAAAUACCAAAUGCUGGAGAGGAUGUGGAGAAAAGGAAACUCGCCUACAGUGUUGUUGAGAAUGUAAGUUCGUAUAGACACUGUGGAAAACAGUAUAGUGGUUUUCCAGAAACCACUAAUAAAACUAAAAAUAGAAUUACCUUAUGAUCCAGCAAUCCCACAACCUGAAUGUUCAUCCACAGAUGAAUGGAUAAAGAUCUGGUGC
This is a long non-coding RNA of Bubalus bubalis (water buffalo), 19978 nucleotides long. RefSeq lists it as uncharacterized. Lineage: Eukaryota; Metazoa; Chordata; Mammalia; Artiodactyla; Bovidae. The transcript is spliced from 7 exons. The record is from RefSeq and is a predicted model, not a curated record.